CUGCUGCCUUCCGUAGGAGUCUGGUCCGUGUCUCAGUACCAGUGUGGGGGACCUUCCUCUCAGAACCCCUACGCAUCGUCGCCUUGGUGGGCCGUUACCCGCCAACAAGCUAAUGCGCCGCAUGCCCAUCCUCCGCCGGAAUCGCUUCCUUUUAACACCCGUGGGAUGCCCCACUGGUGUACCACGCGGUAUUAGUCCGGAUUUCUCCGGGUUAUCCCCCUGCGGAGGGCAGGUUGCAUACGUGUUACUCACCCGUGCGCCGGUCGCCGGCAG
This 273-nucleotide ribosomal RNA is filed under the name uncultured bacterium. Its description in RNAcentral is "partial 16S ribosomal RNA". The record is from RNAcentral.